Molecule: ribosomal RNA, 925 nt
Filed under: uncultured bacterium
Lineage: Bacteria
Description: bacterial SSU rRNA
Rfam family: Bacterial small subunit ribosomal RNA
Source: RNAcentral
AGAGUUUGAUCAUGGCUCAGGACGAACGCUGGCGGCGUGCCUAAUACAUGCAAGUAGAACGCUGAAGAAAGGAGCUUGCUUCUUUUGGAUGAGUUGCGAACGGGUGAGUAACGCGUAGGUAACCUGCCUUGUAGCGGGGGAUAACUAUUGGAAACGAUAGCUAAUACCGCAUAACAGCUUUUGACACAUGUUAGAAGCUUGAAAGAUGCAAUUGCAUCACUACGAGAUGGACCUGCGUUGUAUUAGCUAGUAGGUAGGGUAACGGCCUACCUAGGCGACGAUACAUAGCCGACCUGAGAGGGUGAUCGGCCACACUGGGACUGAGACACGGCCCAGACUCCUACGGGAGGCAGCAGUAGGGAAUCUUCGGCAAUGGGGGCAACCCUGACCGAGCAACGCCGCGUGAGUGAAGAAGGUUUUCGGAUCGUAAAGCUCUGUUGUAAGAGAAGAACGUGUGUGAGAGUGGAAAGUUCACACAGUGACGGUAACUUACCAGAAAGGGACGGCUAACUACGUGCCAGCAGCCGCGGUAAUACGUAGGUCCCGAGCGUUGUCCGGAUUUAUUGGGCGUAAAGCGAGCGCAGGCGGUUUAAUAAGUCUGAAGUUAAAGGCAGUGGCUUAACCAUUGUUCGCUUUGGAAACUGUUAAACUUGAGUGCAGAAGGGGAGAGUGGAAUUCCAUGUGUAGCGGUGAAAUGCGUAGAUAUAUGGAGGAACACCGGUGGCGAAAGCGGCUCUCUGGUCUGUAACUGACGCUGAGGCUCGAAAGCGUGGGGAGCAAACAGGAUUAGAUACCCUGGUAGUCCACGCCGUAACGAUGAGUGCUAGGUGUUAGGCCCUUUCCGGGGCUUAGUGCCGCAGCUAACGCAUUAAGCACUCCGCCUGGGGAGUACGACCGCAAGGUUGAAACUCAAAUGAAUUGACGG